GGCUCAUGGCUUUUCCCCUGUUCCAGUUUGCAUUUGCCCUGUAACUACUGGGAGGAGUCCUGCUUUGUCUAUAAAAAACUGCACUUUGCCAAACACCAUAACAGAACUGAAUUUAGGGAUUCGCUCACCCGUCCGCUGCAGAGAGAGAGAGAGGACUGAGCACAGCCAUGUUUGGGGUUGGGAAGAAGCUUGCUGAGGAAGCUGUGCAACAAGCUGAAAGCACUGCACAGGUGACAGUAAAUACUGUGGGCCAGACUGUGCAGCAAGCAGUGGAACAGGCUAAGGAUGCUGGUCAGAAAGCUCUUGAUGAAGUCUACAAAGUUGCUGAAACCGGCGAAAAAGCUGUUAAAAACGUAGCGAAUCAGGCAACUUCGUGGGGCAAAAGCUUUGGACAAUGAAGAUAAAAAUGUAACACUACUGAAAUUUUUGUAAACAAGUUUCUACUACAUGUACUGUUAAUAAAGAAAAUACUUCUACUCUACCUGGAUUGCAUGUAUUCCUUAGGAAUCUUUUGGUUACACGUAUUAAACACUUAGAAUCAC
This 542-nucleotide long non-coding RNA is filed under the name Strigops habroptila (Kakapo). RNAcentral's name for it is "lncRNA (ENSSHBG00005008659.1)". The record is from RNAcentral. Lineage: Eukaryota; Metazoa; Chordata; Aves; Psittaciformes; Psittacidae.